CUUUCCGCCCGGGCUUAGGAGCGGACGAGAGGCGCCUCGCGCUCUCAUUCCUCCGCCUCCCUCCCUUUCUCGCCUCUCCUCCGCCCCCCACCUCUCCCUCCGCACACACGCCGCACGCUCCACACCCCGCCGUGGCCGGCUCGCCGCCCUCCCUUUCCUCUUCCGUCCGGCCUCCCCGCCCUCGGUCCACCCCCUCCGCGCGCUCGCCCACCCCGCCCAGCCCGGAUCUCUGUCAGCGGCCGGAAGGGAAACGCGAAGCCAGCGCGGCCGCGGGGGGAGUCCGGGUUGGAGUGCAAUGACGUGAUCUCGGCUCACCGCAACCUUUGCCUCGUGGGUUCAAGCAAUUCUCUUGCCUCAGCCUCUCAAGUAGCUGCGAAUACAGCUGUGCGCCACCACGCCUGGCUAAUUUUUGUAUUAUUAGUAGAGACGGGGGUUUCACCAUGUUGGCCGUGCUAGUCUCAAACUCCCGACAUCAGGUGACCCACCCACCUUGGCCUCCCAAAGUGCUGGGAUUACAGGCAUGAGCAACUGCGCCCAGCCUAGACGGAGUCUCGCUCUGUCACCCAAGCUGGAAUGCCGUGGCGCAAUCUUAGUUCACUGCAACCUCUGCCUCCUCGGUCCAAGCCAUUCUCCUGCCUCAGCCUCCCGAAUAGGUGGGAUUGCAAUCACAUGCCACCAUGCCCAGUAUUUUUAUUGUAUCUUUUAUUUUUUUAUGGUAUUUUUAGUACAGACAGUUUCACCAUGGUGGCCAGGCUGUUCUCGAACUCCUGACCUCAUAAUCUCCCCGCCUCGACCUCCCAAAGUGCUGGGAUUAUAGGCGUGAGGCCCUGUGCCCAGCUGGCACUUAACAUUUAAAUCGUAUUAAAUUCUUACCAGCAGUAUGUGAAGUGUCUGUCACAACAGAAAAGAUAUGCUGGAGAAUAUCACAAAAAUAAGUUUGAUAAAAACUCUGAGCUGCAGCUUCUUCUUGUGCAACAUUUUGUAAGAGUGUAAAAAGUAUCUGUAAGCCUAAAAGACAUAGAAUACCAAUGGAAAGUUACUACAGACUGACAGCACUCAUGAUAGUAUUUAGCUCUUAUCAAAGUAUUCUGAAUCUAACCCUGUUCUCCCUUUUUUUUGGGAUGAUGACUAAUAAUUACUUGCAUAAGGUUUCUUAAAUUAAUAAUGGAAUACAACUAUAUCCAAUGCUGGCUUACUUAUAAAUUAUAAUAAGUUGUGUGAGAGCUAAACUGUGAAGAUGUAAAGGCAUAAAGAUCAUAUAAUGGACUUUGGGGACUUGUGGGGAAGGGCAGGAGUGGGUGAGGGAUAAGACUACACAUAAGGUGGAGUUCAUACACAUGAGGGAUAAGACUACACAUAAAGUAGAGUUCAUACUGCUCACAUGACAGGUGCACCAAAAUCUCAGAAAUCACCACUGAAGAACUUAUUCAUGUAACCAAAAACCACCUGUUCCCCAAAAACUAUUGAAAUAAAAAAAGAACCUCAUGAAUAUUUUUUAAAAGCCUAUGGGAAAAAAAUUACAAUCUAAGUUAUGACUAUUACCACCCUUUCACCAUUUCUGAAAGCUCAGCUGAUUCUAUAUGAACUUCUACAACAUCACUACCCAGUAGAACUUUGUAUUACGCAAACCAAUUAUUACUAGGCCGCUCUCCCCAUAACUCAAUUCUGCCUAUGGACUCACUUGGAGUGGAGUGGAACAGUUGAUUAAACUGCUUAUAGGAUUUUCUCAGAUGUUCAUAUAUGUAAUUCACACACUCAAAACUCUGAACAAGUAAUACCUUCCUAUGUACAAUUAACUAUAUUUGUAUUUUUGGAUUGGCAGGCAAAUGAAUAAAAGAACAUCUUUUAUUUACCCGUA
RNAcentral lists this long non-coding RNA (1858 nucleotides) under Homo sapiens (human). Its description in RNAcentral is "USP34 divergent transcript (USP34-DT)". The record is from RNAcentral. Lineage: Eukaryota; Metazoa; Chordata; Mammalia; Primates; Hominidae.